This 24-nucleotide non-coding RNA is filed under the name Drosophila melanogaster (fruit fly). The record is from RNAcentral. Lineage: Eukaryota; Metazoa; Arthropoda; Insecta; Diptera; Drosophilidae.
UUUUAUAUAUUCAAUGAAACGGGU